GAUGAACGCUGGCGGCGUGCCUAAUACAUGCAAGUCGAACGGAGAAUAUAGCAAUAUGUUCUUAGUGGCGAACGGGUGAGUAACGCGUUGGUGACCUGCCCCGAAGCGGGGGAUAACAGUCCGAAAGGAUUGCUAAUACCCCAUGUGAUCACCGGGAUUAGAAUCUGGUGAUUAAAGGAGAAAUUCACUUUGGGAGGGACCUGCGUCCCAUCAGCUUGUUGGUAAGGUAACGGCUUACCAAGGCAAUGACGGGUAGGGGACCUGAGAGGGUGGACCCCCACAAUGGCACUGAAACACGGGCCAUACACCUACGGGUGGCAG
Molecule: ribosomal RNA, 321 nt
Filed under: uncultured Chloroflexota bacterium
Lineage: Bacteria; Bacillati; Chloroflexota
Description: bacterial SSU rRNA
Rfam family: Bacterial small subunit ribosomal RNA
Source: RNAcentral